UGCCAGACUCCUACGGGAGGCAGCAGUGGGGAAUAUUGCACAAUGGGGGAAACCCUGAUGCAGCAACGCCGCGUGAGUGAAGAAGCGUUUCGGCGCGUAAAGCUCUGUCAGCGGGGAAGAAAGAAGACGGUACCCGACCAAGAAGCCCCGGCUAACUACGUGCCAGCAGCCGCGGUAAUACGUAGGGGGCGAGCGUUAUCCGGAAUUACUGGGUGUAAAGGGAGCGUAGACGGCGAAGUAAGCCUGAAGUGGAAGCCCGCGGCCCAACCGCGGAACUGCUUUGGGAACUGUUUAGCUGGAGUAUGGGAGGGGUAAGCGGAAUUCCUGGUGUAGCGGUGAAAUGCGUAGAUAUCAGGAGGAACACCGGUGGCGAAGGCGAUUAACUGGACCGUAACUGACGCUGAGGCACGAAAGUGUGGGUAGCAAACAGGAUUAGAUACCCCUGUA
This 447-nucleotide ribosomal RNA is filed under the name uncultured bacterium. RNAcentral's name for it is "bacterial SSU rRNA". It matches the Rfam family "Bacterial small subunit ribosomal RNA", at positions 329 to 792 of the family's 1533-position model. The record is from RNAcentral.